AUGAAUAUGCUCCAUACCAAAAAACAGAAUAACUUUUCAUGUAAUUCCAUGCAUAUUGAAAAUACAGAUAAUUUUUAUCCCAUUGCAUUUUUCAGAAUUCUCAAUCAUAAUCCUCUGAAAGCCAUUGAAGAUCCAUCUCUUUUUACAUUAAAAGCAUUAAAUUAUCUGGACUUGGGACAGACGCAUGUGUCACUCACAGUACUGGAGAACAUCCUCGCGAAGUCUCUUGAAUUGGAAAGACUGAUCUUACCGAGCAUUAUGUUCUGCUGCCUCUGCCAGUUUAAAAAUGAUAUUGAGGAGGUCUGCAAGACAGUCAAGCUGCACUGUGACAGCACAUGUCGCGCCAAUGCCAAGCAGUGUCGUGAGUCUCGAUAGCCUAAUGA
Molecule: long non-coding RNA, 383 nt
Filed under: Cavia porcellus (domestic guinea pig)
Lineage: Eukaryota; Metazoa; Chordata; Mammalia; Rodentia; Caviidae
Description: lncRNA (ENSCPOG00000034475.1)
Source: RNAcentral